AUGAAACAAAGACCCAUUAAUCCAAUAAAUUAUCUCCUCCCAACUACAAAAAAGGUUUCCAACCUUGAGUCUUGAGUUCCUUUUCUGCCACCCCUUUCUCGACCUUCAGUUUCCUCCAUCAGUGACAUGGUCAGCUUACUCCGGUGGCCUUUCUUUCUCUCAAUAGCCAAGUAUGCUAUGUUCUUUUUUCUCUCUCAGAUCUGGAAAUGAAUCUCUCUUUCCUUCACUUUUUCUUCUGGGUAGUUUUCAUAAAGUUAAAACUUUUUUUAUUUUUAAAGAUGCAGAUAUGUUGUUAAAAGCAUCCCACAAGUGAUUAUAUGACUUUUUAGUUGUCUGGUUGGUUGACUUCAUUUUCUUUAGAUGUGAUAUUCUCUGCUUCUUUUUGCUAGGUUUUUUUAUUGCUUGUUCAUGUUUUUUUGUCGUUGAUUUUCUUUUAUGAUUUUUAGUAGCUGCUUAAUAGUUGGUUUCAUUUUAUGAUUUUGUAAUUGGUCUUUGGUGGGACGUUUCCUGUUGGUUCCUAGGUUUUUUUUUGUCUUAAUUAGGAGUCUUUGUAAUUGUUUUGUUGGUUGUUCUCACCAAUAGUUUGUGUUUGCUGGUUUUGGUUGUUCUUUUUUUUUUUUUUGCAAUUUACUGUUAAAUAAGGAUUGUUUGUUUUCUAUUUCGUGUUGCUUACUUUCUACCAUGGAAUUGGUAGUUUCUGUAGAGUUUUUUUUUUUUACAGUAAUGAUAUCCCUUUCUUGCCUUUAAAAAAAAAAUCUAUUGAAUAUUAUUGUGAUGGUUUCCUAAAUGUACAUGUUUUGCUACAAUUUGAAUAUAUAUGUGAUUAUAUGUAUUUCUUGUAGAUGGAUAAAAAAAUCAUUGAUGCAACAGUUAUGGGUGCAGCUGCAUCGAUAUUAGCUUUUGGAGUUGUUUUUGGAGAACUUUAAAAGCCCUAUAAUUAUCCCUUAAGGUGUUAUUCAUAAAAGAAGACAUAGAAGGCUGUAACAUAUAUGGAGGCACAGCUAAGAAAUCUUUUUCACAAACAUUUUUGGAUGAAUGAUAUAUCCACAUAUGUCAAAACUCUAU
Molecule: long non-coding RNA, 1065 nt
Filed under: Theobroma cacao (cacao)
Lineage: Eukaryota; Viridiplantae; Streptophyta; Magnoliopsida; Malvales; Malvaceae
Description: long non-coding RNA (TCAC_LNC000265)
Source: RNAcentral